RNAcentral lists this small RNA (2388 nucleotides) under Pongo abelii (Sumatran orangutan). RNAcentral describes it as "retained intron". The record is from RNAcentral. Lineage: Eukaryota; Metazoa; Chordata; Mammalia; Primates; Hominidae.
AGCGGGUCCCUGCGGCUCAGGAUGGAGGCUGGACACCUGUUCUGCUGUUGUGUCUUGCCAUUCUCCUGAAGAACAGAGGCACACUGUAAAACCCAACAUUUCCCCUUGCAUUCUAUGAGAUUACAGCAAGAUGGAAAUACCAAAUCCCCCUACCUCCAAAUGUAUCACUUACUGGAAAAGAAAAGUGAAAUCUGAAUACAUGCGACUUCGACAACUUAAACGGCUUCAGGCAAAUAUGGGUGCAAAGGCUUUGUAUGUGGCAAAUUUUGCAAAGGUUCAAGAAAAAACCCAGAUCCUCAAUGAAGAAUGGAAGAAGCUUCGUGUCCAACCUGUUCAGUCAAUGAAGCCUGUGAGUGGACACCCUUUUCUCAAAAAGUGUACCAUAGAGAGCAUUUUCCCGGGAUUUGCAAGCCAACAUAUGUUAAUGAGGUCACUGAACACAGUUGCAUUGGUUCCCAUCAUGUAUUCCUGGUCCCCUCUCCAACAGAACUUUAUGAGAUGAUCCCUGGAUCCGUCCUGAUUAGUGAUGCUGUUUUUCUGGAGUUGGUCGAUGCCCUGAAUCAGUACUCAGAUGAGGAGGAGGAAGGGCACAAUGACACCUCAGAUGGAAAGCAGGAUGACAGCAAAGAAGAUCUGCCAGUAACAAGAAAGAGAAAGCGACAUGCUAUUGAAGGCAACAAAAAGAGUUCCAAGAAACAGUUCCCAAAUGACAUGAUCUUCAGUGCAAUUGCCUCAAUGUUCCCUGAGAAUGGUGUCCCAGAUGACAUGAAGGAGAGGUAUCGAGAGCUAACAGAGAUGUCAGACCCCAAUGCACUUCCCCCUCAGUGCACACCCAACAUCGAUGGCCCCAAUGCCAAGUCUGUGCAGCGGGAGCAAUCUCUGCACUCCUUCCACACACUUUUUUGCCGGCGCUGCUUUAAAUACGACUGCUUCCUUCACCCUUUUCAUGCCACCCCUAAUGUAUAUAAACGCAAGAAUAAAGAAAUCAAGAUUGAACCAGAACCAUGUGGCACAGACUGCUUCCUUUUGCUGGAAGGAGCAAAGGAGUAUGCCAUGCUCCAUAACCCCCGCUCCAAGUGCUCUGGUCGUCGCCGGAGAAGGCACCACAUAGUCAGUGCUUCCUGCUCCAAUGCCUCAGCUUCUGCUGUGGCUGAGACUAAAGAAGGAGACAGUGACAGGGACACAGGCAAUGACUGGGCCUCCAGUUCUUCAGAGGCUAACUCUCGCUGUCAGACUCCCACAAAACAGAAGGCUAGUCCAGCCCCACCUCAACUGUGCGUAGUGGAAGCACCCUCGGAGCCUGUGGAAUGGACUGGGGCUGAAGAAUCUCUUUUUCGAGUCUUCCAUGGCACCUACUUCAACAACUUCUGUUCAAUAGCCAGGCUUCUGGGGACCAAGACGUGCAAGCAGGUCUUUCAGUUUGCAGUCAAAGAAUCACUUAUCCUGAAGCUGCCAACGGAUGAGCUCAUGAACCCCUCACAGAAGAAGAAAAGAAAGCACAGACUGUGGGCUGCACACUGCAGGAAGAUUCAGCUGAAGAAAGAUAACUCUUCCACACAAGUGUACAACUACCAACCCUGCGACCACCCAGACCGCCCCUGUGACAGCACCUGCCCCUGCAUCAUGACUCAGAAUUUCUGUGAGAAGUUCUGCCAGUGCAACCCAGACUGUCAGAAUCGUUUCCCUGGCUGUCGCUGUAAGACCCAGUGCAAUACCAAGCAAUGUCCUUGCUAUCUGGCAGUGCGAGAAUGUGACCCUGACCUGUGUCUCACCUGUGGGGCUUCAGAGCACUGGGACUGCAAGGUGGUUUCCUGUAAAAACUGCAGCAUCCAGCGUGGCCUUAAGAAGCACCUGCUGCUGGCCCCCUCAGAUGUGGCCGGAUGGGGCACCUUCAUAAAGGAGUCUGUGCAGAAGAACGAAUUCAUUUCUGAAUACUGUGGUGAGCUCAUCUCUCAGGAUGAGGCUGAUCGACGCGGAAAGGUCUAUGACAAAUACAUGUCCAGCUUCCUCUUCAACCUUAAUAAUGAUUUUGUAGUGGAUGCUACUCGGAAAGGAAACAAAAUUCGAUUUGCAAAUCAUUCAGUGAAUCCCAACUGUUAUGCCAAAGGUGAGUCCCAGUGACCUGGGAGGUGGGGUGGGGGAUGGAUGCCUCUUUACUGUGAUUUCCAUCCGUUGUUGAACCUUUUCCUUAGCUGAGCUAUUUUUUGUCCAAAGAUAAUCAUGAUUAAUAUCUGGUAUCAUUUUAGGCCCCUCUCAAUCUUAGUUUUGUAAUCUGCUUUUUUCAGUGAAUACAUUAUAAACACUUUCCCACAAAUGUGAUUUAACCAGCCUGAGCAACAUAGUGAGACCCAUCUCACAAAAUAAUAAUAGGCUGGGUGUGGUGGCUUA